UUUCAGCUUACGCAGUUACGCUUUACUUUCUCUCUCUAAAAUCUAAGGAGCCAAACUCUCUCUCCAAGAAUGGCACCAAAGGCGGAGAAGAAGCCGGCUGAGAAGAAGCCAGCGGAAGAGAAGAAGACAGUGGCAGAGAAAGCUCCGGCGGAGAAGAAGCCGAAGGCCGGAAAGAAGCUACCAAAAGAUGGUGGCGCGGCGGCUGGAGACAAGAAAAAGAAGCGCGUGAAGAAGAGCACGGAGACAUACAAGAUCUACAUCUUUAAGGUCUUGAAGCAGGUCCACCCAGACAUCGGGAUCUCGAGCAAGGCAAUGGGUAUCAUGAACUCCUUUAUAAACGAUAUUUUCGAGAAGCUUGCACAGGAAGCGUCGAGGUUAGCGAGGUACAACAAGAAACCAACAAUUACUUCGAGGGAGAUCCAGACAGCUGUGAGAUUGGUGUUGCCUGGAGAGUUGGCUAAGCAUGCUGUGUCUGAGGGGACUAAGGCAGUGACCAAGUUCACUAGCUCUUGAAGCAGUGCAGGACUGCCGGAGACUCGUUUGUUGGUUGAUAGUGAAUUAGGGUUUCUUGUGUGUAUGUGUAGGGUUAGGUAAGGUAAUGGUCUAUUUUACUAUUUCUGGUGUUUUUCUUUUGAAUUUGAUUUGGGUUUAUAGUUAAAGCUUGGAUCUUCUCGAUCCCAAUGUUUCUAUGUUAGAAUUGAAAUACAAAAAUCGCUUGAUUGUGUUUGUCAAAAUAGAUUUGUGAAUUUGAAGAAGAUGAGAGGGAUUUGGGUUUGUGUAAAUUGACGAUUAUUUUGCUCAAGUUGAUUGUUGGCUUUUCUUGCUGAUUUGAAUUCUUUCAAAUUCAAAUUGUACUCCGAAAAUAAACAGGCCAUGUUCUGUUCUGAUCAGCUCUGCUCUGUUCUGCGUAUUGCUCAAGCACAGAGGAAGAUGAAUGUUGAAAGUUUCUGAAGAUGCUGAUUCUAUUUUUGAAGCUCAAAUAUAAAACAAUUUGAACACUUAACAUAGAUGGGAAGAUUCGAAAUCAGGAGAUAACUUUAACAAUGGAAAUUAAGAAUAUAUGCUCAGUAUGUGGGAGAAUUUACAAUACAACAAUUGUAGCAUUGGUCACUGUGGGCUUCAAUCGAAUCUCAUCGGAUGAUCAAUUGUUGUCCUGAUUAACUAUCGAGGGUGUGUAUUUGUCGUAUUGUAUUUAAU
This 1197-nucleotide unclassified non-coding RNA is filed under the name Hevea brasiliensis (rubber tree). Lineage: Eukaryota; Viridiplantae; Streptophyta; Magnoliopsida; Malpighiales; Euphorbiaceae. The record is from RNAcentral.